Molecule: ribosomal RNA, 335 nt
Filed under: Trimerotropis pistrinaria
Lineage: Eukaryota; Metazoa; Arthropoda; Insecta; Orthoptera; Acrididae
Also listed under: 1 other name
Description: eukaryotic LSU rRNA
Rfam family: Eukaryotic large subunit ribosomal RNA (bases 278-335)
Source: RNAcentral
CACAUGAACAUCGACGUUUCGAACGCACAUUGCGGUCCAUGGAUUCCGUUCCCGGGCCACGUCUGGCUGAGGGUCGGCUACGUAUACUGAAGCGCGCAGGCGUUGUGCCUGCCGCCGCUUCGGAGACUUGGGAGCGUCGUGGCGAAGGCGUGCCUUUGCCGCGUCUCCUGAAAUGCGCGAUGCGCGCCGCGCCCGUCGCCCGGUCGGUUCGCAUACCGGUACUGUGUCUCGGUAGCGUGCACAGCCGACUGGGCGUACGUGGUGCCAUCUCGUACAACGACCUCAGAGCAGGCGAGACUACCCGCUGAAUUUAAGCAUAUCAAUAAGCGGAGGAA